AGCUUAACCGUGAGCUUGCGCAGAUGAAGUUUCUAUACGGUAACAUCUUUGGACUCAUGUCCAACUACGCCGGAGCUAGUAGCAGUCACGAGAUGAUGACGGAGAUUGAGGAAGAAGAAUCGAGCCCCAGGCUGUUCGGCGUUUCUAUAGGUCUGAAACGGACGAGAAGCGAAGGAGUUCAUGUGAAGACGGUUUCUACGGCGGCGGAGGAGACGCCGUGGCUGAGACACUCUAAUAGAGCCAACCAGAGAGUCUGUAAUUAACGGUUCAGAUCAAUGUGUAUACGCUAGAGGAUUCAAACAGUCAGCACGUGUCCUAUAUGUUGCAACAAGUUUCAUCAAUCUUGACUUCUUCUCGAACAUUUUGUAAAUGGUUCUUUUCUGUUUUUUUUCUUCCUUUCAAUAGAUUUGUCUGUACUCUCCCUUUUUGACUUUUCUUUUUCUUUCUCAAAACCAUUAAAUUUUUGAUGCAACUGGAAUUUGAAACAAGUAGAUUGUAAUUCCAUAAUUAAUCCAGUCGACCAGUAUAACUUGUAAUUCUCACAGCUUAAGGGAUCCGUUCCUAUAUAAAUAGCACUCUUUUCAUUUUAAAAUGAUCUUUGUUUCAGGAAAAAAUAUUUUUGCCAUUUCUAUAAGAUAGUAAUAAUAAAUUUAAUUUAAAAUAGUUAAUUAUAUUUAUCGAAAUAAUUUGUCACAAUAUAGUAUAUUUUUCUAUCGAUACUAUUAAAACAUAAGGUCCUUUUUUGAGGUACUCUUUUGAUUUAACAAUAUUUACAGAUCCAUGCUAUUGAAUUAUUUUUAAGCUAUGAUUUUAAUUAUUGAUAAUAAUCUACCGUAACUUUAAUUCCAACGCAACGUUUCAUUCUUUUCCCUUCUACAUCAUUAAUUUAAGCCUUUCUGCAUCAUAUGUCAUCGCAUAAUUGUGAACAUUACUAUUCAUUUUAUAAUAAUUGUACUGAUUAUACUGAAGUCUGUCCAUCGAUUUUCAUUGCUUAUAAAGUGUAUGUUAUUGUUUUACAUAUUUAAUCUUACACCAUCUGGCACAUUCAACACUCACAAUUCAACAUUCCAUUGAUUUAGAAUUUACAUACUAUUAUAUACCAGCAUAGAGCUUAAUAUGUUCUACAUUCAAAAUUACUCCAAAUUAUGAGUUCGGAAUCCUGUAUGAACAGAAUCGUACUUAUAUAUUUGGAAGCUUCACAAUUUUUUUAUGUUUUGUAUGAAUAGAUCAUUUUCUUAUGCAAAACUUAAUAUUACAUCGUAACUUGGUUUAUGGUCUGUCAUCUGUAAGAUCAUAACUCAAUAACCUCUAAUUUACAAAACUCUAAACCCUAUAUCGUUUUUAUUAAUAUUUUCAGUAAUCAGUAUCUAUUAAAAAUAAAUUAUAAACCUACAAAUAUAGAUAACUACCAAGAUCUUUAAUAACAAUACAUAUUACACGGCAAAUCAAUUAUAUUUGCACAUCUGUUUUAAAAACUAUAAAAAAAAUAAAGAAGAAAUAAGUAGAUUUUUCGAAUAAUUAAAUAUAGAAUAUACUCUUUCGUAAAAUAUCCAGCCAAUGAUUACAGUUGAAAUAUCUGACACAUAUCAAUAAAAGAAAAUAGGAACUAUAAAAUCGGAAAUUUUAUCAUUAAUAUCGAAUAUACCACAUCAGAAAAACGAUAUAUUCUGUAACUUAAAUUAGCUUCAUUCCCGAGAUAUGUGAUCUAGCCAAUCAUUAUUGUUGAAAUUUUUUUAAAUAUCAAUAACAGUAAAUAUAAACCAUGAAGUUUUAUCAUCGAUAUCAAUAAAAUCAUAAAAUCUAAUUUUCUAUAACUUAAAUUAUAUUGAUUCGCAAGAUAUGUGAUUUUUAAAAAUAUAUUCAGUAACAGAAAAUAGAAACUCACGCUUUAACCCUUCUUAUAUAUACGCCGAAACCAUGUCUUACAAAACUCAAAGCAACGUUUUUUUUUUUUUUUUUUUUGUAACAACUCAUAGCAACGUUCUUUAGAAAAAAUAAAGCAUAGAAUGUCUUCCAAGCAAAAGACAGAACUUUCUUCAUGACUUUUCUGUUGGAGCAUGGAGGUUGCCAUAACAAUUAAUAGGCGGUGAUAUUCAGAGUGGCAUCUAGAAGUUUCUUCACUGCGUUUUUGUUGGAGAAUGGAGGUUGCCAUAACAAUUGACAGGCGGUGGAUAUUCAGAGUGACAUCUAGAAGAAGGUUUGAAAAUUUUGACGUUGACAAUAAAGACAAACCUCAGAAUCAAACUACUCCCUCAGUUUCAUAUUAAGUGUCGUUGUAGAAAAUUUUUUUUGUUACAAAAUAAGUAUCGUUUUCGAUUUUCAAUGCAAAAUUUAUUAAUUUUAUACAGUGAUUUAUUUUUCUAUUAGUUGAAAUAUGGUUAGGUGUAUAAGUAAUUGUGUUUUUAUAUAGGUAAUAUACAAAUUAACGGUUUUCUUAAUCUGUGUGCACAAGGUCAAAAUGACAUUUAAUAUGAAACAGAGAAAGUAAUUAGUAAUGUAGUUUUCAGAGAAAUUUCUCAGAAUCUCUAAUGUUGUUAUUUGGCUAUUGUUUUAAAUAAGUAUGAGUUAGGCUCUUUUCAAAAAAAAAUUGAGUUGAAUGUUUUUGCAAAAAAUUUAUAUAGUUCUUGGCUACUAAUACGAUUCAUCAAUCAAACUCCUAAAUUAUUAUAAUUUUUUUAGUUAUAACUUACUUUAUACUUGAUUGCAAGAGGUUUUGUCCGUUUGCAAACGUAAUGUUCAUUGCUUUCAUGCAUCCUACAGAACAUUUAAAACAAUUCCAUAAGAAUAAAGUAGUUUCUAAUAUGACUUUGUUCCGUUCUCUUGCUCAUAUAGCCAUUGCAGCCGUCUGUGGACAUUUCUGUAAGUAUGUAAAACCAUUACAAAUUAGAAACGAUCUUUAAAUUACUACAUCUAUACAAUAUAAUACAAUAUAAUACAAUAUAACAGAUCCAUAAGAAUAAACACAAUAUUAUAUCAACAAUCUGUAGCUCCAUUAUAUCAAAUACAAUACUAUAUUAGACUUCAUGAGGAUUAUCUUUGUAUUAUAAAAUCCCGUAAUGACUUUGCCCAAUGUUCUUCCUCAUAUAAACAUUGGAGUAGUUUAUGGCCAUUUUUAUUUAGCCCUAAAACUUAUCAGAAUUAGAAUCGUUCAUAAAACAACAUAUUAUACAAAGUAUUUAAUAGUAGACAAAAGAACCACUUGACUUAUUAUCUGAUUUUGCUAUAUUUUAACCAAUUUAUUAUUCCCUCAAUAUAAAGAUCCUACAGAACAUUUAAAACAUUUUCAUUAAACAAACAAAAUACUACAUAAACAAAAUCAGUUCAAGAAGAUCAAACACAAUGCUAUUAAAAUAUUAUUUGAGGCUUUAAAAUGUAGUUUUUCAAAGAGAUUGUGAGUUGUUUAUAAUUUUUUAAAAAAUAGUAUACUUACAAUUUCUAAUAUUCUUCAUGGUCAAGUUGAUGAUAUGUUUAACUGAAAAAACAAUUAAACCAUUAAUGGAGACAAUUAAUUUUGAAUCAGAUUAACCCACCGAAGAAUCAAAUACCAGAUCGUGUCAUACUCUUUUGUUAAUGGAGACAAUUAAUUUCGAAUCAGAUUAACCAAUCAAGGAAUCAAAUACCAGAUCGUGUGUCAAACUCUUCUAAUUCCUUGCAUUGUUCAUAAAAGAAAAAUUUCGGACGAAUAUCUGAACCGUUAAUAUUUUGUUACACCAUCGGAUAAGCUAACAUUUAAUAGCAUAUUUAAUAAAUAUAAUUUCAAAAACUGUUUUUGAUUUUUUGAAAUCAUUUUGGUAACCACAAAGGAUUUUGGACAUAUGGUUGUAGCCACAAAAUUUUCUAUUGUUUCUUACUGAUUUAACAGAUGUGAUAACAGAAAUUAUUUUGUAAAAUAAAUAUUCAGAUAAAUAUUUGUGUCAAAUUAAACUAAAUAGGAGUUCUUAAAAAAUCAAAUCGUAAUGAAAACAUUUUUAGAUUUCUCAGAUCUUUCCACUUAUUCUUAAAGUACGGGAAUAAACUCAUUUUGAAAUUGUAAGUUAUGGGAAUAUUGUACGACAUAACAAAAUCGAGCAUAUGUUCUAUAACUUUAUUACUUUAGAGUCCAAGUAUAUAUAAUCUAAUAUUACAUCAUCUAACAUAUGAAUAAAAUAAAUUUUAUUAUUUUUACAUGAAAGUUAAUUUUUAUGAUUCUCAACAUAAGAAAAAAACUAUUUCUCUAAAAUUAAGUCCCAAUUUUAUAAAAAAAAAGUAUUUUAACUCAACUACAAUAUGAGACAAGUGUUAAAUCUGCUAAUGUUAAACCAGUCAUUAUAGAUAUAAACAUAAUUCAUAUUGUGUUAUUUUGAAAAAACCAUAAUGCAUAUUGUAUUAUUAUAUUAUACGUUUUUUGAUGAUAACAUAAUGUUAAAUCAAUACUCAUAUAAUUUUAUUUAGACAAACAAAAGAACAAUAAAUAUAGUAAAUCAGUAUUAUUUUAAUUAAUUUUACUUUUUAAAAGUACAUAUUAAAAUUUGGGACAAGAUACCUAAUAUGAGACGUCUAAAUAAAUUAAAAUCGAUUAUAAACGUCAAAACUUGAAUAGAAAACUCAAACAAAAAAUUCAUACUAGUUUUGAAACCGAAAAACCCAAAAACUUAUCCCGCGCUUUUAAAGCGCGGGUCAAAAUCUAGUUUAUAAUUAAGAUUUAACACUUUUAGGAAAAAGAGAUGUUGACACAAAAAAGGAGACAAUAAAUUAUUAUGUUAACAAUUAUAAUAUCAAUACUAUUAAAAGAAAAGAAGUUUAAAUAAAUCUACUUACAAAGUUGUUUGGACCUUUUUUUUUUUUUGGUCUUCCUUAUAUAUUAUAUAUUAUUCCUAUUUAAUUUCAAUUUGUUAUCAGCAAAUUAAAUAUUAUUAAUUGGACCUUGGGCGUUUAACUUAAAAAAGAUAAUUUAACUGAUACAACUCAUUCAGAAAAGAAAAUUAUAAAUCUAAUUAACUUUUGUUACAGAAAAAAAUUAACCAAAUUAACUUUAGACCUUUUUUUACAAAAUUCCAAAUUAUAAAGACCAUUUUAUACAUAAAUACCUAUAAAUGUAACAUUAUUUAAAUUGUAUGGAUUUCUAAUAAUAAAAUAUCUGUCACAGACUAAUUUUUAUUUUAAAUUGAUAAUAGUUUGAUAGAAACUUAAAAAAGGAAAAAAAAUAAUACUUGCUUCACUAUUUUGGUAGAUUUAUAAUUAAUAUAUUUAUAAAUAAACUUAACAAUAUUUGUUAAAAGAAAUUUCUUAUACAAGUCAAAUAUAUAUUAAUAUAUCAAAAAUUUAUAAAACAAAAAACAAAUUAUAUUUUUUGAUGCAACUGGAAUUUGAAACAAGUAGAUUGUAAUUCGAUAAUUAAUCCAGUCGACCAGUAUAACUUGUAAUUCUCACAGCUUAAGGGAACCGUUCCUAUAUAAAUAGCACUCUUUUCAUUUUAAAAUGAUAUUUGUUUCAAAAAAAAAAUAUUUUUGCUAUUUUUAUAAGAUAGUAAUAAUAAAUUUAAUUUAAAAUCAUUAAUUAUAUUUAUAGAAAUAAUUAGUCACAAUAUGAUAUAUUUAUCUUUUUAUAAUUAAGAUUUAACACUUUUAAGAAAAAGAGAUGUUGACAAAAAAAAAGGAGAGAAUAAAUUAUUAUGUUAACAAUUGUAAUAUAUAAAUUGAAUUUGUUUACUUGUCAUCUUUUCUAUGAUUUUAAAUUUUUUUGCUUAUUUAUCAUGUUUUUUUUUAGUAUCUUUUAGUUGAGUCAUUAAUUCAAUAACUUAGAUAAUAUUAUUUUUAAAAAUUAAGUAUAGAUAAAAGUUAAGAUAUAAUAUAUACUAUAAAUCAAGACUAUCUAUAUUUUUUGAGUAAUAUUUUUUUAUUAAAACUAAAUAAUAGUAUAAAUAUAAUAUGUAAGUGAUAUUUAUCGUCUAUCUUACAUUAUAUGUGAAUACUAAAACAUAAAAGAUAGAAUUAUCUAAUAUUUUAUAUGUAUAAAUGAAAUUUUUAUAAUAUAUAUUUAUUCAUAUACACUAUUAUUUAUGACGUGAUUUUUUUCUAAAUUCUCAAAAUAAAAUUUAGAACGGUUAAAUUUGUUGAUAAUUGUAAUGAAUAAUUAGCUUAAUCGUUAGUUUAAUCAUAAAAUAAUUACAAUAAAAAUAAAAAUUAACCCAAAAAAAAACAUAUUAUAAAAAAUAGAUAAUUAGUGUAUAUCUCAAUGCUCCCAUUGAUGUAAUACUGUCUUACAUAUAUUUAAUGGCUGAUUUUACAAAUUUAUAUUAUCAGAAUAAACAUGUUGUCCUGUUUUUUAUUUUCAAUAUAUUCUCACAAACUUAAUUGUAAUUCUUUAUUUUUAUUAAGUUAAAAAAACAAAGAUAUGUAAUUAAAUAUUAGUGAAAAUAAAAAUUUGUAUAUAAUUCAUUAUAUAAUUAGAAAUUAAUCAUGUAUUAAUAAUAUUAGAUUUAUAAAUUAUAUUAGAUAAUUGAUUAUAAAUUAAUAUAAUAAAUUUUCAAAAAAUAAAACAUAUUUUGAAAACUAAUAUAAUUAUAUAUGUAUUGUGUUCUUAUCUGGAAAUAAUAUUUUUUAAAUUAAGAAGUAAACUUUUUUAUGAUUAAAUAUUAAUUAAGCAAAAAUAUUUGUGUAAAGAUAUUUUUACUAUGUGAGUGUUUUUAAAAAUCAAAAUAACAGUAAUUUUAUGUAUAUAUAUAUAUAUAUAUAUAUAUAUACUGAUGAUUUUUUUUUGUCAUAUAUUACUGUCUGGUUUUUAAAUUAUUAAAAUAUAACCUAAUAAGUAUACGUAAGAAAGUAUGUUCGUAUUUGCAAACUUUAAUUUAGAAAAGUUACUAACUUGAAUUUGUGAUAAUUUGUAAAAUACAUAUGCUUGUGAUAAAGAGCAUAAGUCAUAACUAAAAUUUUUUUUUUUUUGAUAUGAAAUUUUUUAUAGUCGAAAUAAAAUAAAUGGUAUUUUUUUUCCUCCAUUUUCCUCAUUCUUGUAAAUAUAUACAUCAAGAAUUUUUUUUGUUGAAUCAACAAAAAGUUGUGUAGUAAUUCUUGGAAUAUUAAUAAUACCUCCCGUAAUAACAAACUUGCAAAAUGGAUCCGUUUAUCAUAAAGAGAUUCGUUGUUCCUGACUCUGCUUCACAUUAAUUGUUAUUUGAACAAGUCAAAGUUCUGUCUUGGUCUGCGUGGGGAUAGCAUUUCUCUUCUGCAUGUUCGCCCCAUUUAUCUUCCUGAUGAGAAGUUUGGUUUCAAACCCCGGUUCGAACAGGAGGAGUACGCUAUGCUAAUGUGCCUUGGAUGAACCACAUCUCAGGGUCAGGCGCUGAUGAGCACAUUGAACUAUCCAUGUGGCUGAAAGCCCUCACAGUCCAGGCACAACAACGCAAUUAUCAGGGGCGCGCUCUACCACUGAGCUAAUAGCCCGUCGUGCGGACCUCCUGCUGGGGGCCUGCUAUGCCAAACCAAAAGCGAGAGAACCCCAUCCUUCUCUUUCCUUUUUACGCCCCCCUUAUUUACAUUAUAAAUAGUGCUCUCAGUUGGUUGCAUAAGAAUUAGCUGUCUUAGAUGUUUGAUUGUUACACAGAUGUCACUAAUAGGUGACUACAGUUAUAUAUGACUCGAGAUUAGUUUCAUCAAAACAAGAACAAACUAUUAAGUAUAAGCUGUUCUCAUUCUCUACACUUAUGAAUCAAAAGCUUUUAUUAUCUUUCUUCCUUUAUCUCUGUAACAAAAACAGUAAAACGGCACCAUUCUUGAAUCAUCUCUUUUAUAAGUAGUAAUGAUGGUAUGGAGUUGUUAGAUGGAGGUUGGUAUCGGUUCUUGUUAUAAGUACGUAGUUCUUUAAUCUCUUGCAGACUCUCUUUAAAAUCUUUUAUUGUUUAUAGAUUAAUCUCAGUGUACUUAAGCUUUAAAUUUUUUUUCCUUUACUCUAUCUACAUCUUCUCUACUCAUUUUGCUCUGGCAUUUGGUGUGUGUUUUAUGGUUUCAUUAAUGUAGCUAUCUAUUAUCGUUUUAGGACAUCGAUUUGGGUUUGGUUCACUAAAAUAUGAUGAUAUAAGCAAGACGCUGUAUAAAAUACAAGGUUUCAAAAGUGUGGCUAGAUCAGUUCCGGUUGUAACGGUAACGAUAACCCCAAAUCGAUUUGAGCUCUACCUUCGUCUGGUGAUGCUUUGAUAAAUCCUUAUCUUAAAAUCGUAAAACUCCGCGUGCCAUUUCUAUUCCAGUUGGCAAUUAAGUUUUUAAAAUAAGAAAACAGGAUAAAAAGCAAAUGGUCCACCACUAGUUGGGUCACAGAACAUGAUGGGAAUAAACACAUGCAGAAGAAGUUUCGUGAAGCAUAAUUAAAAACAAUAAGCAGCUUCUCGAUCUUUCUUCACCUUUAACUAUUGCUCAUUUAACUUUUUUUUUUUUUUUUUGUAACAUCUCAUUUUACUAUUUAUUCUUCUUCUUCGUGACUUCUAGAGACACAUUGUUUUUUAGUUUUCUUUAAUCAUCAUUGCUUUCUUACAACUAUUUUCACAAUCUAGUGAUGUCUCCGCCGAGCGAUAACAGUUAUACUACGAUGGCUACCAAUGAAUCUCAGAGAACUGCUCCGACGCCGUUUCUCACCAAAACUUUUAACCUCGUCGAAGACCCUUCUACCAACGACGUUAUAUCAUGGAACGAAGAUGGUUCCUCCUUCGUCGUAUGGAACCAAACAGACUUCGCUAAGGACUUGCUUCCGAAACACUUCAAACACAACAACUUCUCCAGUUUCGUCCGCCAGCUCAACACUUACGUAAGUCUUUAAUUUAUCUUCGGUUUCGUUUUUUUGACUAUAUGUGAUGUGUUCUUCGGUUCCCGGUUUAAUCCUGGUUUGGUUUGAUUUUUUUUUGCAGGGAUUCAAAAAAAUUGUACCGGACCGGUGGGAGUUCUCUAACGAGUUCUUUAAGAGAGGAGAGAAACGUCUCCUCCGGGAUAUCCAGCGUCGGAAACUAACAACUCAAGCAGCUGUUUCUCCGCCGCGGUCUCAAGUAGUUGUCGCGGCUCAGACGGCGAAAAUGGUUGUGUCCCCGUCUAGUUCAGGUGAAGAACAGGCCAUGUCUCCGUCGUCGUCGUCGACCGGAAACGGUGGUUUGUCUACCGAGCUGUUGGAGGAGAACGAGAGGCUUCGGAGUGAGAACAUCCAGCUUAGCCGUGAGCUUGCGCAGAUGAAGUCUCUCUACGGUAACAUCUUUGGACUCAUGUCCAACUACGCCGGAGCUAGUAGUAGCAGUCACGAGAUGAUGAUGGAUAUUGAGGAAGAAGCGAGCCCGAGGCUGUUUGGUGUUUCGAUAGGACUGAAACGGACCAGAAGUGAAGGAGUUCAUGUGAAGACGGUUUCUACGGCGGCGGAGGAGACGCCGUGGCUGAGGCACUAUAAU
This 9397-nucleotide long non-coding RNA is filed under the name Brassica rapa (field mustard). Its description in RNAcentral is "long non-coding RNA (BRAP_LNC001628)". Lineage: Eukaryota; Viridiplantae; Streptophyta; Magnoliopsida; Brassicales; Brassicaceae. The record is from RNAcentral.